AAUCAUCGCCUCUUAAGGAGGACUUCAGACAUUUAUUUGCCCGGCCAAAUAACAGACCGGGUCUCCAGACUACAUGAAGUCAAGAGGACCUACCUCAAUGCAAGUUGCUUAAGCAAAGCAAAGCAAAAGUUCACAAGGAACUGAGCAACUAAAAGUACCUGGAAACAGUCAAACAUAGUUAGUACUCAGACAGACAAAACUAAACAGCAAAAGUUCAAUCAAUCAGAC
This 228-nucleotide long non-coding RNA is filed under the name Lathyrus oleraceus (garden pea). RNAcentral's name for it is "Pisum sativum (pea) long non-coding RNA (PSAT_LNC037457)". The record is from RNAcentral. Lineage: Eukaryota; Viridiplantae; Streptophyta; Magnoliopsida; Fabales; Fabaceae.